Molecule: ribosomal RNA, 503 nt
Filed under: uncultured bacterium
Lineage: Bacteria
Description: partial 16S ribosomal RNA
Rfam family: Bacterial small subunit ribosomal RNA
Source: RNAcentral
AUUGAACGACGGCGGCAGGCUUAACACAUGCAAGUCGAGCGGGGCGAUGGUGCUUGCACUAUCACUUAGCGGCGGACGGGUGAGUAAUGCUUAGGAAUCUGCCUAUUAGUGGGGGACAACAUCUCGAAAGGGAUGCUAAUACCGCAUACGUCCUACGGGAGAAAGCAGGGGAUCACUUGUGACCUUGCGCUAAUAGAUGAGCCUAAGUCGGAUUAGCUAGUUGGUGGGGUAAAGGCCGACCAAGGCGACGAUCUGUAGCGGGUCUGAGAGGAUGAUCCGCCAGCCUGGGACUGAGACAGGGCCCAGACGCCUACGGGAGGCAGCAAGGUGGAAGAUUGGACAAUGGGUGGAACCCUGAUCCAGCCAUGCCGCGUGUGUUAAGAAUGCCUUAUGGUUGUAAAGCACUUUAAGCGAGGAGGAUGCUCGUUUGGUUAAUACCCAAGAUGAGUGGACGUUACUCUCAGAAUAAGCACCGUCUAACUCUGUGCCAGCCGCCGCCGUAA